RNAcentral lists this ribosomal RNA (245 nucleotides) under uncultured Thermobifida sp. RNAcentral describes it as "partial 16S ribosomal RNA". It matches the Rfam family "Bacterial small subunit ribosomal RNA", at positions 796 to 1041 of the family's 1533-position model. Lineage: Bacteria; Bacillati; Actinomycetota; Actinomycetes; Streptosporangiales; Nocardiopsidaceae. The record is from RNAcentral.
CACGCCGUAAACGUUGGGCGCUAGGUGUGGGGACUUUCCACGGUUUCCGUGCCGUAGCUAACGCAUUAAGCGCCCCGCCUGGGGAGUACGGCCGCAAGGCUAAAACUCAAAGGAAUUGACGGGGGCCCGCACAAGCGGCGGAGCAUGUUGCUUAAUUCGACGCAACGCGAAGAACCUUACCAAGGCUUGACAUCACCGGUAAUCCUCCAGAGAUGGGGGGUCCUUCGGGGAUCGGUGACAGGUGG